AGAGGGUGCAAGCGUUAAUCGGAAUUACUGGGCGUAAAGCGCGCGUAGGUGGGUGUUUAAGUCGGAUGUGAAAGCCCCAGGCUCAACCUGGGAACUGCAUUCGAUACUGAAUGCCUAGAGUAUGGUAGAGGAAAGUGGAAUUCCCGGUGUAGCGGUGAAAUGCGUAGAUAUCGGGAGGAACAUCAGUGGCGAAGGCGACUUUCUGGACUAAUACUGACACUGAGGUGCGAAAGCGUGGGGUAGCAAACAGGAUUAGAGACCCUGGUAGUCCACGCCGUAAACGAUGAGAACUAGAUGUUGGGAAGUUUACUUCUUAGUAUCGUAGCUAACGCGUUAAGUUCUCGCCUGGGGAGUACGGCCGCAAGGCUA
This 369-nucleotide ribosomal RNA is filed under the name uncultured organism. RNAcentral describes it as "partial 16S ribosomal RNA". It matches the Rfam family "Bacterial small subunit ribosomal RNA", at positions 527 to 896 of the family's 1533-position model. The record is from RNAcentral.